UUUUUUUUUUUUGGUCUUUUUUUUUUAGGGCCGCACCUGCAGCAUAUGGAAGUUCUCAGGCUAGGGGUCUAAUUAAAGCUGCAGCUGCUGGCCUACACCACAGCCACAGCAACACCAGAUCCAAGCCACAUCUGUGACCUACACCGCAACUCAUUGCAACAGUGGAUCCUUAACCCACUGAGAGAGGCCAGGGAUCAAACCCGAGUCCUCACAGAUUCUAGUUGGGUUCAUUACUGCUGAGCCACGAUGGGAGCUCCCAAGGUUUUUAUUGAAUUCCCAAAAUUAUACUUCAUCAGGUUAGCAAAUAAAUUACAAAGAUUCAGGUUAGCAGUUGCUCAAGGGUAUUCAUGGCCUCAAACACGCACAUGUAGGUUUAAAUUUCGAUCCUGCAAUUUCUUGCUGGCAGGUUAUUUAUCAUUCUGACCCAUGGUUUUUUAAUCUGCGAAAUGGACCUACGUACCUACCACACAAUUUAUAUGAUGAUUAAAUAAGACAAUGUAUAUCAGGUUGUUGGGAGAGUACUUGGCAAAGAAAACAUUUCUAAAUACAUGGUCACUACUUUUUCUUUUUCUUUUCUUUUUUGUCUUUUUGCCUAGAAAGGGCCGAUCCCACGGCAUGUGGAGGUUCCCAGGGCCCUAAAAAGACAAAAAAAAAAAAAAAAAAAAAAAAAAGAGAGAGAGAGAGAGAGAAAUGAAAAGGAAAUUAUAAAAUAUACUAGUUUAUUCAGUGAAUAUGUUCAGUUUCUGGAAAAAGUGGAAUAGUUGCUAUCAUAAGAUAGAAAUGAAGAAAUGAAGGUGUUCAUCUUACCUCUGAAUUCUAUGAUUUUAGGUUUUGGACAGAAACAGCAAGCUAAAUCAGAAGUAGAAUUUUUUGCUUUGUUCUUUAGGGAUUCUCCAUACCAUCAAAAAGAACAUUUUUCCAAGGAGAUUAGCAUCUACUGAAGGAAAUUGAGGUGUGAUACCGACAUACCCCAGAACAGAUGAAAGCUAUGAAGGGAAGCAUUCAGCUAGAGGAGUUGGCCCAGAUCUGAGCUGCCACUCAUUUUUAUAGGACUUGCAAGCUAAGAGGUUCAAAUGGUUUUACAUUUUUAAAUGAUUGAAAAAUUUUUUUUAUGACAUAUAAAAAUUAUAUGAAAUCAAAUUUCAGUAUAUUAACAUAAAAGAUGUUACUAUAUUGUUAAAUUAAAAAGGGAAGAUUAUAAAGCAGAACACAUAAUAUGAUAACAUUUUUUAAAAUACUGAAAUACAUCAACACAUGGAUUGAUCAAUUGAUAGACCGUAAAAUGGUGAUAGUCAAUGUAUUUUGCCAGCCGUAGGCAUAAAUCUUGAAACACCAGAAUUGUUGUCGGUUUUAAAUAACCGAUACGGUUAUUUAUCAGCAGAUAACCUUGAAAACCA
RNAcentral lists this long non-coding RNA (1397 nucleotides) under Sus scrofa (pig). RNAcentral describes it as "lncRNA (ENSSSCG00055009150.1)". The record is from RNAcentral. Lineage: Eukaryota; Metazoa; Chordata; Mammalia; Artiodactyla; Suidae.